Long non-coding RNA from Hydra vulgaris (swiftwater hydra), 1349 nucleotides. RefSeq lists it as uncharacterized. Lineage: Eukaryota; Metazoa; Cnidaria; Hydrozoa; Anthoathecata; Hydridae. The record is from RefSeq and is a predicted model, not a curated record.
AUAUGUAUAUACAAAUAUACUUGUGUAGAUUCCUUUCUUUAUGAAUCUAUUUUUAAUGAUAACCAAUCUUGUUCUGUAGUUCAUGUAACAGAUUUUGAUUUUGAUGAUACUUCUUUUUUUGCAUAUCCAUUGGAUAGUAGUAGUAGUGAAGAAAGCUGUGCAGACAACGAAGAUAAAUCUUUCCAAAAAAAAUUUUCUAAUCUUGUGCAAAAACACAAUGUUUCCAAACAAUUUGUAGAAGAUCUUCUUAAGCUAUUAAGGGAAAUUAGCCAUUCAGAACUUCCUAAAUCAUAUCGAACAACAAUGCAUCUAACUUAAAAAUUCAAAAAAGAUCCCUUUGAGAAGCUACGGUUUCCACUAAGCGAUGCUGAGUACCAGAAACUGUCACUUGGUUUCUUGUGGGAGAUAAAAGAAAACGUUGUAAAUUGCCGUUGGCCAAUAGAAGAAAAGGAUAAUCAUGCAAUAAAAAUGAUGGCAACGAUGGAAGAUUUUAAUGCCUUUAAAAGAGAGUUGUUAGACGAACAGAAACGUUCAAUCAUGAGAAAAUCUUUACGUCAAGUCCGUGGUUUAGAUGCGAAAUACCAAGUAAAAAUGAUACUGGAAAGGUACACUUUCUAUUAGCUAAACAACAUUGCAGCUUUCUAGUCUUUAUUUUUGUUUAUGUUUGAUUCAUCUGUGUUGAUAAUAAUAUCGCCUGUUUUUAAAAUUUUAUGUUGUUAGGUAAAACAUCAUUAUAUUUCAGGCUAAAAUAGAGCUUUGAACAAUACGUUUAUCUUGUUUAAAUAAAUAACAACUCUGAAGGUAUAUUAGCUGAAUUAUCUUUUCGUUUUUGAUAGUCCUUAGUCAAUAACGGAUUUUUAAAUUGUUAUGGGUCUGCAACAUUUAAUUUCAAUAAAAUUAAAUUAAAAAGUUACGUCAUAGAAGACAAGAAAAAUAACAACAUCUGUUUUUGACUGUUUACCGUUGGACUUCUGUCCCAAUUUAACUAAGUGGAGACAAAAAGAAGGGGGUUGAAAAGGUCAGCCGUUUUUGAAUUAAUAGUCGAAGUCGCAGCCAGCUCGUAUAAAAAGACUUCUCGACGAGAAAUAGUUAAUUUUAUUCAGAGAAAGCUGAAGAACGCCCCUGAUCAAAUCGGCGGGUUGCGUAUGCAACAACGCCAAGAAACAGAGGAGAAAGCUCAAGAAACAGAGGAAAAAUAGGAUAGUGAAACUAAUGUGGAAUUUGGAGAUGAAUCUGCUGAUGACUCUUAAUUUAUUUAACUUAAUUUAACUUAAUUCAUUUAACUCUUAAUUUAAUUAAUAUAUUCUUAGGGGGUCCAUAAUCGUCUUUUUUUAGAUUUUUUAUAGUUU